UUGGAGGGCAAGUCUGGUGCCAGCAGCCGCGGUAAUUCCAGCUCCAAUAGCGUAUAUUAAAGUUGUUGCAGUUAAAAAGCUCGUAGUUGAAUUUCGGGGUCAGUAGGCUGGUCGUGCCACGGGUAUGUACUGGUCUCACUGAUUCCUCCUUCCUGAUGAACCGUAAUGCCAUUAAUUUGGUGUUGCGGGGAAACUGGACUGUUACUUUGAAAAAAUUAGAGUGUUUAAAGCAGGCUAACGCUUGAAUACAUUAGCAUGGAAUAAUGAAAUAGGACGUUCGAUCCUAUUUUGUUGGUUUCUAGGAUUGACGUAAUGAUUAAUAGGGAUAGUCGGGGGCAUCAGUAUUCAAUCGUCAGAGGUGAAAUUCUUGGAUUGAUUGAAGACUAACUACUGCGAAAGCAUUUGCCAAGGAUGUUUUCAUUAAUCAAGAACGAAAGUUAGGGGAUCGAAGACGAUCAGAUACCGUCGUAGUCUUAACCAUAAACUAUGCCGACUAGGGAUCGGAUGAUGUUAAUUUUUUAAUGACUCAUUCGGCGCCUUACGGGAAA
RNAcentral lists this ribosomal RNA (548 nucleotides) under uncultured Glomeromycotina. RNAcentral describes it as "SSU rRNA". It matches the Rfam family "Eukaryotic small subunit ribosomal RNA", at positions 548 to 1097 of the family's 1831-position model. The record is from RNAcentral. Lineage: Eukaryota; Fungi; Glomeromycota.